UGUAAUAAUGGUUUCAGGAGUAGAAGUUACUGAUUCAUCACGUAGAUAUAAUACACAGUGCUUAUCACAAUUGCCUUCCUCAAUAUCCAUCACACAUUUAGCCUAUCACCUGCAUACCUCCCCUCCAGCUACCCUCAGUUAGUUCUCUAUACUUAAGAGUUUCUUUUGGUUUGCCUCCCUUUCUCUUUUUUUUUUUCUUUCUUCCCAGAUGGUCAUCUAUUUGUUUCUUUAAUUCCACAAAUGACCGAAAUCAUAUGGCAUUUGUCCUUCUCUAAAAGACUUAAUUCUCUUAGGAUAAUAUAACUCUAGUUUUAUAGAGUUUUAUAUUUGCAAUAUCCUUGCAAAUGGUACGAUUUCAUUCUUUUUGAUGGCUGAGUAAUAUUCCAAAUAUACAUACACACUACAUGUCUUUAUCCAUUCAUCAGCCCAUGAACAUUUGGGCUCUUUCCAUAAUUUGGCUACUAUUGAUAAUGCUGCUAAGAACAUCAGGUGCAUGUGUCCCUAUGAAUCAGUAUUCUUGUAUUCUUUGGUAAAUACCCAAUAGUGCAAUUGCUGGGUCAUAGAGUAGUUCUAUUUUCAACUUUUUGAGGAACCUUUACACUGUUAUCCAAAGUCGCUGCACCAGUUUGCAUUCCAACCAACAAUCUAAGAUGGUUCUCCUUUCUCUGCAUCCUCAUCAAUGCUUGAUGUUUUCUGUGUUGUUAAUUUUAGCCAUUCUGACAAGCAUAAGAUGGUAUUUCAUAAUGACUUUGAUUUGUAUUUCCCUGAUAAUGAGUGAUGUUGAGCAUCUUUUCAUGUCUAUGUUUGCCAACUAUAUGUCUUCAUGGAAAAAAUGUCUACUCGUGGGUUCUGCCCAUUUCAUAACUGGAUUAUUUGUUUUUAGGGUGUUCAGUAGAAGUUCUUCAUAUAUUUUGGAUACUGGUCCUUUAUCAGAUAUUUCAUUUGCAAAUAUCUUCUCCCAUUCUGUAGGCUGUGGGUCCUUCAUAUGUGGCCUUUAUGAUGUUGAGAUAUGUCCCCUCUAACCCUACUUUGUUAAAAAUUUUUUAUCAAGAAUGGAUGCUGUACUUUGUCAAAUGCUUUUUUCUGCAUCUACUGAGAGGAUCAUACAGUUCCUAUCCUUUCUUUUCUUAAUGUGAUAUAUCACAUUGCUUGAUUUGCCAAUAUUAAACCAUCCGAGCAUCUGAGGAAUAAAUCUCACUUGAUCAUGAUGAAUAAUUCUUUUAACAUACUGUUGGAAUGGAUUUAUUAGUAUCUUGUUGAGAAUUUUUGCAUCCAUGUUCAUUAGGGAUAUUGGCCUCCAAGUCUCCUUUUUAGUGGGGUCUUUGUCUGAUUUUGGAAUCAUGGUAAUGCUAGCCUUGUAGUCUGAGUUUGGAAAUUUUCCUUCCAUUUUUCUUUUUGGAACAGUUUGAGAAGAACAGAUGUUAAUACUUCUUUGAAUGUCUGAUAGAAUUCACCUAGGAAACCAUUUGGACCUGGACUUUUUGUUUGCUGGGAGAUUUUUGAUUACUAAUUCAAUUUCUUUACUGGUUAUCAGUCUGCUCAAAUUUUCUAUUUCUUCUUGCCUCAGUUUUGGUAGUUUAUAUGUUUCUAGAAAUUUAUCCAUUUCUUCCAUAUUGCUCCAUUUGUUGGCAUAUAAAUUUUCAUAAUAUUCUCUUAUAAUUGUUUAUAUUACUGUCCUAUCAUGUGUGAUCUCUCCUCUCAUUUGUGAUUUUAUUUACUUGGGUCCUUUCUCUUUUCUUUUUGAUAUGUCUGGCUAGGGGGAUAUCAAUUUUAUUAAUUCUUGGCACCCCUGGCUGGCUCAGUCAGCUAAGUAUCUGACUUUGGCUCAGGUCCUGAUCUCGGGGUCCUGGAAUGGAACCUCUCACCUCUUAUCAGACUCUCUGCUCAGCAGGAAGCCUACUACUUCCUCUCCCUCUGCCCUGUCCUCCACUCCUGUCACUCUCAUGCCACUCUCUACCUCUCUCUCUAAGUAAAUAAAUAAAAUCUUUUAAAAAUUUUAUUCAGUCUUUUAAAGAAUCAAUUCUUAGUUUCAUUAAUCCAUUCUAUUGCUUUUGUUUCUAUAUAAUUUAUUUCUUUUUUCCUUUUUAAGAAAACAUAUUUAUUUGGGAGAGGGAGAGAGAGAGAGAGAGCAUGUACAGGGGGAAGAGAAAGGGGAAGGAGCCCAACGAAGGGCUUGAUUCCACAACCUUGAGAUGAAGGCAGACACUUUAUGAACUGUGCCACCCAGGCACUCCACUAUAUCAUUUAUUUCUGCUCUAAUAGUUCUUAUUUCCCUUGUUCUGCUGGCUAUAGGCUUCAUUAGCUGUUUCUUUUCUAGUUGCUUUAGGUGUAAGGUUAGGUUGUAUAUUUGAGAUUGUUCUUGCUUCUUGGGGUAGGCCUGUAUUGCUAUAUACUUUCCUCUUACAGCCACUUUUGCUGUAUCCCAAAGGUUUUGGACUAUUGUGUUUCAUUUUCCUUGGUUUCCUUGUCUUUUUAAAAUUUCUUCUUAAUUAUCUGGUUAACCCAUCCAUUCUUUAGCAGAAUGUUGUUUAACCUCCAUGCGUUUGUGGUUUUAUCAAAUUUUUUUCUUGUGGUUUUUUUCAAGCUUCAUAGCAUUGUGGUCAGAAAAUAUGAAUGGCAUAUUGUACUUGUUGAGGCCUGCUUUGUGACCCAGUAUGUGAUUUAUUCUGGAGAAUGUCCCAUGUGCACUCGAAAAAAAAUGUUAUUCUGCUGAAAUGUUCUAUAUAUAUCUGUUAAGUCCAUCUAGUCUAGUGUGUCAUUCAAAGCCAUUAGUUCCUUGCUGAUUUUCUACUUAGAUGAUCUGUCCAUUGCUGUAUGUGAAGUGUUAAUGUCCCCUAUGAUUAUUGUAUUAUUAUCAAUGAGUUUCUUUAUGGUUUUUAUUAACUUAUUUAUUUGAAUGCCCCUAUGUUAGGAACAUAAAUAUUUUCAAUUGUUAGAUAUUCUUAUUGGAUAGACCCUUUAUUAUGAUAUAGUGCCUUUCAUCAUCUCUUGAGUCUUUGGUUUAAAAUCUAGUUUGUCUGGGGAUCCCUGGGUGCCUCAGCGGUUUGGCGCCUGCCUUUGGCC
This 3063-nucleotide long non-coding RNA is filed under the name Canis lupus familiaris (dog). Its description in RNAcentral is "lncRNA (ENSCAFG00845012838.1)". Lineage: Eukaryota; Metazoa; Chordata; Mammalia; Carnivora; Canidae. The record is from RNAcentral.